GUGAGGAAUAUUGGUCAAUGGGCGCAAGCCUGAACCAGCCAUGCCGCGUGCAGGAAGACGGUCCUAUGGAUUGUAAACUGCUUUUAUUUGGGAAUAAACUCCGGUACGUGUACCGGCCUGAAGGUACCAAAUGAAUAAGCACCGGCUAACUCCGUGCCAGCAGCCGCGGUAAUACGGAGGGUGCAAGCGUUAUCCGGAAUCAUUGGGUUUAAAGGGUCCGCAGGCGGUCUUAUAAGUCAGUGGUGAAAGCCUACAGCUCAACUGUAGAACUGCCAUUGAUACUGUAGGACUUGAAUUCGAUCGAAGUGGGCGGAAUGUGACAUGUAGCGAUGAAAUGCUUAGAUAUGUCACAGAACACCGAUAGCGAAGGCAGCUCACUAGGUCUGGAUUGACGCUCAGGGACGAAAGCGUGGGGAGCAAACAGGAUUAGAUACCCGUGUAGUCC
Molecule: ribosomal RNA, 445 nt
Filed under: uncultured bacterium
Lineage: Bacteria
Description: bacterial SSU rRNA
Rfam family: Bacterial small subunit ribosomal RNA
Source: RNAcentral